RNAcentral lists this small RNA (421 nucleotides) under Pan troglodytes (chimpanzee). RNAcentral's name for it is "retained intron". Lineage: Eukaryota; Metazoa; Chordata; Mammalia; Primates; Hominidae. The record is from RNAcentral.
AUUCAGGAAGUUGGUGGGUUUUCAGCAUGUGAAUAUUGACUGUGUUGUCUUUUCUCAUUUUUUACUUACUACUUGUUUUUCCUCUUCUUCCACAGCAAUCAAUCAAUAAGAACAAGUCCCAGGACUUCAGACUAGGCUCAGAAUCUAUGACACAUAAAGAAUUGAAGAAAAGUUAAGAGAUGCCCAAAUGCACAGAGGUGAAAAUGACAAACCAAAUGGAAUUUCUCUUCAGAGUUCAGAAUUUUCAGAUACUAAGGAGGAAGAAAGGAUCCACUACUUCUUGUUCUUAUGAAUGACUCUAGAAAAAUCAGAAUCAAGUUGUGGGUGGAAAAAUCAAUGUGGCCUUUGAGUUCAGUUGUUAUAAACCAUUGUGAUUGUUGUUGGUCAAAGUAUUGGUACUUAUAUUGUUAGUAAUUGCAUC